CCAAAGUCACAGGCCCCUUCGUGAUGUGUGAGAGGGAAACAGCUUUUUCGCAAAAGACGGAAAUCGGAAACAUCAGGGAAGCAGCCCAACAGCAUAUCAUCUGAGAAAAGGACAGAAAACACACAAUCCUGCAUAAGACGAGGGUCACAAGCAGG
Molecule: long non-coding RNA, 155 nt
Organism: Engraulis encrasicolus (European anchovy)
Lineage: Eukaryota; Metazoa; Chordata; Actinopteri; Clupeiformes; Engraulidae
Exons: 3
Source: RefSeq, a predicted model, not a curated record